This 253-nucleotide ribosomal RNA is filed under the name uncultured bacterium. Its description in RNAcentral is "partial 16S ribosomal RNA". It matches the Rfam family "Bacterial small subunit ribosomal RNA", at positions 524 to 776 of the family's 1533-position model. The record is from RNAcentral.
UACGAAGGGGGCUAGCGUUGCUCGGAAUUACUGGGCGUAAAGGGCGCGUAGGCGGAUGUUUAAGUCAGAGGUCAAAUCCCGGGGCUCAACCUCGGAACUGCCUUUGAUACUGGACAUCUAGAGUACGGGAGAGGUGUGUGGAACUCCGAGUGUAGAGGUGAAAUUCGUAGAUAUUCGGAAGAACACCAGUGGCGAAGGCGACACACUGGCCCGUUACUGACGCUGAGGCGCGAAAGCGUGGGGAGCAAACAGG